RNAcentral lists this long non-coding RNA (207 nucleotides) under Lathyrus oleraceus (garden pea). RNAcentral describes it as "Pisum sativum (pea) long non-coding RNA (PSAT_LNC000999)". The record is from RNAcentral. Lineage: Eukaryota; Viridiplantae; Streptophyta; Magnoliopsida; Fabales; Fabaceae.
UACACAUAAGAAUCGUCUAGCACAUGCAAUUUAUUGAAACACAAAUUAAAAUAAACUAAAAAAAACAAAAAAAUGCAAAAAUUAAAAGAAAAAUAAAGCAUAGAAAUCUCUUCCCACACUUAAAUCGAACAUUGUCCCCAAUGUUUCGAUAAAAGAUGAGGAAAGGAGUAACCUGGAUGACACUACUGCUGACCACUAGUACCUUCG